GGGGCUGACCGGUUUUGACAGCAGGUUGAAUCUUUAGGUAAGCAUGUCGAGCCAUGUGAUAAAGCUCGUAAAUCCGUGUCACACACUUUUUAUUUGGCGAAUAUAAUUUUGCUCUCGCAGCCUAACCGAAGUUUAGUAAGUUAAGGCCUAAUUCCCUGGUCAAGGUUACCGGGGACGGGACGGUCCGCAGGUGGAGAUGUCUGAUUCCGGCCUGAUCACGGACCGCACGCAACUUCAGACUGGUUCAGGGUUUGCUUCGCACCCGGGAUGAGAAACAGAGGCUAAGACAGUGUUUAGGAUGCUUGUUUCCUUGCACUGCCCGAAAAUCAACAACAAGCUAAGCAUGUAGAAAGCUUAUCGGUUGCCUGUUUGGACGAGGGUUCGAAUCCCUCCAGCUCCAC
Molecule: transfer-messenger RNA, 401 nt
Filed under: marine eukaryotic metagenome
Rfam family: transfer-messenger RNA
About the family: Bacterial tmRNA, also known as 10Sa RNA or SsrA, is named for its dual tRNA and mRNA-like properties. Its role is to liberate the mRNA from a stalled ribosome.
Source: RNAcentral